RNAcentral lists this ribosomal RNA (810 nucleotides) under Nannizzia gypsea. Its description in RNAcentral is "eukaryotic LSU rRNA". It matches the Rfam family "Eukaryotic large subunit ribosomal RNA", at positions 85 to 912 of the family's 3401-position model. The record is from RNAcentral. Lineage: Eukaryota; Fungi; Ascomycota; Eurotiomycetes; Onygenales; Arthrodermataceae.
AACGGCGAGUGAAGCGGCAAAAGCUCAAAUUUGAAAUCUGGCCUCCUACGGGGGUCYGAGUUGUAAUUUGUAGAGGAUGCUUCGGGUGUGGCCGCCGUCUAAGUUCCUUGGAACAGGACGUCAGAGAGGGUGAGAAUCCCGUCUUGGGCGGCCGGUCCGCGCCCGUGUGAAGCUCCUUCGACGAGUCGAGUUGUUUGGGAAUGCAGCUCUAAGCGGGUGGUAAAUUUCAUCUAAAGCUAAAUACUGGUCGGAGACCGAUAGCGCACAAGUAGAGUGAUCGAAAGGUUAAAAGCACCUUGAAAAGGGAGUUAAACAGCACGUGAAAUUGUUGAAAGGGAAGCGCUUGCGGCCAGACUCGGGGGCGGGGUUCAGCGGGCGCUCGUCGCCCGUGCACUCCCCGUCUCCCGGGCCAGCAUCAGUUUCGACGGCCGGUCAAAGGCCUCCGGAAUGUGUCGUCUCUCGGGACGUCUUAUAGCCGGGGGUGCAAUGCGGCCCGUCGGGACUGAGGAACGCGCUUCGGCUCGGAUGCUGGCGUAAUGGCCGUAAGCGGCCCGUCUUGAAACACGGACCAAGGAGUCUAACAUCCACGCGAGUGUUCGGGUGUCAAACCCGUGCGCGCAGUGAAAGCGAACGGAGGUGGGAGCCUUAGGGCGCACCAUCGACCGAUCCUGAAGUCUUCGGAUGGAUUUGAGUAGGAGCGUGGCCGUUGGGACCCGAAAGAUGGUGAACUAUGCCUGAAUAGGGUGAAGCCAGAGGAAACUCUGGUGGAGGCUCGCAGCGGUUCUGACGUGCAAAUCGAUCGUCAAAUUU